Molecule: long non-coding RNA, 900 nt
Organism: Labrus mixtus (cuckoo wrasse)
Lineage: Eukaryota; Metazoa; Chordata; Actinopteri; Labriformes; Labridae
Exons: 2
Source: RefSeq, a predicted model, not a curated record
UUAGUCAAAUACUGACGCUACUUCUGCAUAUUUCUCAUGAAGCACAAGAAUCCAACUGACUGCAGUUUCUGCUCACACUGCUGAAAUCACGUCUCACUGUUUAAGUUGUACUGUGAGUAGUUAGAAAUAAUAAAUCAACGGGAGACACUGUGGUGCAGUGUGUGGUAAAGUCAAUUGCUAUGUACCAAUGAACACAAUACUUUUCUGCAGCAUCAUGUUUUACCACGUUAACUUCAUCAUUACACCUCAUUAUAUUGGACCGCCUGCACCCAGCACUUUUGUGAAUAAGAAUGGUCAAAAGACGUUUCACACGCGCCCUUUUUGUGACGCGCUGAGAGCCUGAAACAGAACGCCUGCAGACAAAGUUCAUAAUCAGCUCAUGCUAUCAGAUAUCUUUAUCUGGAGCUUCUGGCUUUGUUAAACCAGCUUACUUUAAAGAAAGCCUGGAUAUGUUGAACUUGCUUCAGGGCAAACAACAACUAACCCAAAUACUGAUCAAUAACUUAAACAACAGCCCAAUACCGCCACCUAGUGUCUAAAGUGAGUUUUGUCUAAACUAAAUUUGUUGAUGUGUUUGCACUUCAGAAAUAAAAGUUUCCAUGGCUAACAAAAACCAGUAUAAACCGGUUCAGCUCAUCUGUCUGUCAGACAUGAAGAGAGAGGACACUUGGCUUCCAUGUACGAGGAACACAAGUCCCAGAUUGUGUCACUCUUUCAGAAGAUGCCUUCAGAUUCAGAUCCAUCAACAACCCCUGACAACAUGGAGGACUCGUCCCCUGAGCGUUUCCUGUCCUCUCUCGAUGGUGUUCUUCUCUUCAGUUAUUAACUCUUGAAAACAGUAGCACAAAAUGCCAGACUGUUUGACAAGUCUGUGAUUGAAUAAAUGGAAAUGGAAUCUCA